RNAcentral lists this long non-coding RNA (1413 nucleotides) under Bos grunniens (domestic yak). Its description in RNAcentral is "lncRNA (ENSBGRG00000016402.1)". Lineage: Eukaryota; Metazoa; Chordata; Mammalia; Artiodactyla; Bovidae. The record is from RNAcentral.
UAAGCUAUGAAUGAGUUUGCAACUCAGGCAUUUUGGUCCUUUCCCCCAAAGUUGUUAUUUUCUAUUUAUUUAUUUCUUAAAUGCCAAAUAGUAAGGUCUACAUCCAAUUGUGAUAUUGAAGAACCUCUUCUCUAUUUAGAGACCAUGUGUCCUAAAAAGAACACUCUGCAUGUUACUAAUUUGGAAAAAAAUGGCUACAGAAGAAAAUUCUAUGCUAAAUUCCUUGAAAAUAAAUUAUAUUUUCUUUUCAACUGACACCAAAGAAUUUCAGCUUUAAUUGAAUCACUUGUAAUCAAAGCAGUGGUCAAAGAAGUACAGGAGUAUAUUAAAAUGUGUAAGCAUCUGGUAAAUGAACUUAACUGUUGCAUUUCAUCGUUUAUUUGCAUUCUAGAGAUAUCUAAUUGUGUCUAAAUAAAUACUUUAUAAUCUUGUCUUUCAAAACCAUCUGAACAUACAUUUCCAAAUAUUUGUCUCCUCCUUUGUAUAGCAAUUACACUGGCCACCAAUAGCUCAGGCACAGGUAAGCAAUAAUCAUCAACCACAACUUAAGAGGGACUUAAAAUCCAAAACUUCCUUUUGCAGUAUUAUUUAUACCUUUGCAAUUACAUUUUUUGGGGGGGAUUUUUUUUCCUGUUUUUGUUUUGUUUUUAAGAUUUUAGAAAAAAAUGUUGUACAAACUGAUAAAGAGUCUUGACUUCUUACUUGUGGUCUAUAAAGUUUAAACUUUAACUUUAUGUUUUGAUAUCUAUUUAACUAUUUAAUCAGAUAUCUCUGAAACAUUAAUUUCAAGUUGAUCCAUUUUAUAUAUGACCAUAGAUGUUAUCAGAAACAUAAUUUUCCUUCCAUAUAAAACAUUUUUUCCCAUUAUUUUCUCCAAUUCAGUAGCUUCCAUUCCAGGGAUUACAUCAAGCAGUGAAAUAACAGGAACAACUCUGAGUUUCCUCAGUGAAACUUUUACCACAGGUGUUACAAGAACUCCAGCUCCCAUCACCUCCACAGCUGGAAGUGUGGGCACCACAGGACUAGUGGGCUCCACCUUCACCAGUUCUGGGCACAUAUCAGGGUCAACUGGAGUGUCAGUAAGUACAAUCACAGAAACUGAAGAUGGAAGCACAGGUGACGCAGGCUUCAGAGUAGGAGGAACAGAAGAUCCUACUGCACCAGUAAGAGGUGAGGAAGAUGGCACACCUGGGCAACCAAGCACAGGAGUGACAAGCUCAGGAGAAGCAGGGACCCCAAGAACUUCAGAAAGCUUCACAACCACCCCUGGGAGCAAGAGCACAAAUGCAGACUCAGCUGUCCCAGACACAACCCCUGGAGGCCAACCAGGUACGGAAAUGGGCAACAUUGACAGUCAUCUGAGGCAUCUUCUUACUGACCUUAAGGAAGUCACCAGCACUUCUGAGUUAUUCC